CNACCUGCCGACAACACUGGGAUAGCCUUUCGAAAGAAAGAUUAAUACCGGAUGGCAUAGUUUUCCCGCAUGGGAUAAUUAUUAAAGAAUUUCGGUUGUCGAUGGGGAUGCGUUCCAUUAGGCAGUUGGCGGGGUAACGGCCCACCAAACCUACGAUGGAUAGGGGUUCUGAGAGGAAGGUCCCCCACAUUGGAACUGAGACACGGUCCAAACUCCUACGGGAGGCAGCAGUGAGGAAUAUUGGUCAAUGGACGAGAGUCUGAACCAGCCAAGUAGCGUGAAGGAUGACUGCCCUAUGGGUUGUAAACUUCUUUUAUACGGGAAUAAAGUUAGCCACGUGUGGUUUUUUGUAUGUACCGUAUGAAUAAGGAUCGGCUAACUCCGUGCCAGCAGCCGCGGUAAUACGGAGGAUCCGAGCGUUGUCCGGAUUUAUAGGGUUUAAAGGGAGCGUAGGCGGGUUGUUAAGUCAGUUGUGAAAGUUUGCGGCUCAACCGUAAAAUUGCAGUUGAUACUGGCGACCUUGAGUGCAACAGAGGUAGGCGGAACUCGUGGUGUAGCGGUGAAAUGCUUAGAUAUCACGAAGAACUCCGAUUG
RNAcentral lists this ribosomal RNA (594 nucleotides) under uncultured Bacteroidota bacterium. RNAcentral's name for it is "bacterial SSU rRNA". It matches the Rfam family "Bacterial small subunit ribosomal RNA", at positions 122 to 715 of the family's 1533-position model. Lineage: Bacteria; Pseudomonadati; Bacteroidota. The record is from RNAcentral.